Molecule: small RNA, 815 nt
Filed under: uncultured Davidiella
Lineage: Eukaryota; Fungi; Ascomycota; Dothideomycetes; Cladosporiales; Cladosporiaceae
Description: eukaryotic LSU rRNA
Rfam family: Eukaryotic large subunit ribosomal RNA (bases 533-815)
Source: RNAcentral
CUUGGUCAUUUAGAGGAAGUAAAAGUCGUAACAAGGUCUCCGUAGGUGAACCUGCGGAGGGAUCAUUACAAGUGACCCCGGUCUAACCACCGGGAUGUUCAUAACCCUUUGUUGUCCGACUCUGUUGCCUCCGGGGCGACCCUGCCUUCGGGCGGGGGCUCCGGGUGGACGCUUCAAACUCUUGCGUAACUUUGCAGUCUGAGUAAACUUAAUUAAUAAAUUAAAACUUUUAACAACGGAUCUCUUGGUUCUGGCAUCGAUGAAGAACGCAGCGAAAUGCGAUAAGUAAUGUGAAUUGCAGAAUUCAGUGAAUCAUCGAAUCUUUGAACGCACAUUGCGCCCCCUGGUAUUCCGGGGGGCAUGCCUGUUCGAGCGUCAUUUCACUACUCAAGCCUCGCUUGGUAUUGGGCAACGCGGUCCGCCGCGUGCCUCAAAUCGACCGGCUGGGUCUUCUGUCCCCUAAGCGUUGUGGAAACUAUUCGCUAAAGGGUGUUCGGGAGGCUACGCCGUAAAACAACCCCAUUUCUAAGGUUGACCUCGGAUCAGGUAGGGAUACCCGCUGAACUUAAGCAUAUCAAUAAGCGGAGGAAAAGAAACCAACAGGGAUUGCUCUAGUAACGGCGAGUGAAGCAGCAAUAGCUCAAAUUUGAAAUCUGGCGUCUUCGACGUCCGAGUUGUAAUUUGUAGAGGAUGCUUCUGGGUAACCACCGACCUAAGUUCCUUGGAACAGGGCGUCAUAGGGGGUGAGAAUCCCGUAUGCGGUCGGAAAGGUGCUCUAUACGUAGCUCCUUCGACGAGUCGAGUUGUUUGGGAAU